Molecule: long non-coding RNA, 1456 nt
Organism: Ictalurus punctatus (channel catfish)
Lineage: Eukaryota; Metazoa; Chordata; Actinopteri; Siluriformes; Ictaluridae
Exons: 2
Source: RefSeq, a predicted model, not a curated record
CCAUCAUAGGCCAGGCCAUCAUAGGCCAGGUAUUGACGUCUGCACACCUGGCUAGGUAAGCUAGAUAAAAUAAAGACUGACCCGCAGCCCAAGGAGUGAAAGUCCCAGCUUUCAUCAUGGCAGAGAUCGAGUUACUGCCAGAGAGUGAAGGGCCUGAGCGGCCAUUGAUGACUGUUAAUGGCAUACUUUGUGAGCGUGUUGUAAUAGUUCUGGCUCAGGAGUGAAUUGGCCACAUCAAACCCCACAGUCUCUGACCUCCCAGCAGGAUAGCCAGGCGUCAGGGAAAUUUACAGCAGACAUGAUUAGCUCAUAUUUAAAUGGUGCUUAAAAGCUGGCUUCCUGAGAAUUUCGCAGCUUAAUUUAGCCAGAAGUGUUUCGGUAUAUAAAGGACUCAUCUCCAUAAGUAUGUUAGCAGUGAGCCUGUAAAAAUAAUCUCGACUAGGGAAUCGUUUUUCUUGGCAGGACGAAGGCAGCAAGGACACGCGGACUUCAGCAGAAUGCGCUGAUUGUUCACCAACUAGUGAUUGUGCAACACUAACUCCAUCCUGUCAUAGCAUUCCAGCUGGAUUAUGAAUUCUGUCCACAGGGGCCUGAUCGGUUCCAGCAGAAAGCCCUUAUUUGGAAGGAAUCCUCGCUAUGGAUUGUCAGGCUCAGGAUACGAUGCUGAUACACUUGCGUGCAAGAGAUUUCCAGGUUUCCUGUUGCACUUUUCGUCAUCUGGAAAGGUGAAGAGAGAGAAAAGCGGGAGGAUGGCAUAACACAGGCUCUGGAUGGGACUACAUCCUGUCUCGUGUCACACCCACAGUGCCGCUGUCCCAACUAGCAGGACUGAUGCAACUCCAGUUGUUUGCCUGUGAUCUGGCAGACACUUCCCCUGCUCGUAAGAACACCCAUCAGCAACUUAAUUAGCUGUGAAGACUCUUCACUUGAAACCUGAAAUCAUUCAUUCAGCGCUUUGUCAAGAGGCGGCAGGCUUGGGCGUGUUGAUGAGAACUUCUAGAUUGUUUCCCGAGCAGCAGAAAGGAGAUGGACGAACAGUGUGGGGUGGAGGUAGCCCAGGCUGGAGAAGGAAUUCCCCUCAUACCUCUAUGGAAAGAGCGUGGCUUUGGUGUGUAGAGACAGGCAUCAGACGACACCAGCUGAGAUUCAUAAAGACCCGCAGGGCUUGUAUUAUUUUUGCAUGCACAGGUCAUCAAUAAUGGCUCGAUGUGUGUUUGCAUAGGGACAGCCAUGACUUUUGCAUGUUUUUGCCCAUUUGUCAAAGGCUCACAUGGGAUAAGCCUCUCUUUCAGUAUGGAGGCAGCAGAGGCCCCUGUUCAUUACUUCUCUCAACAGGUUGGACAUCUUGGAGCGCGACUUUCAUUUCCUUCUCACUAUGGGUGUAUUCAGUGGUAAUGAGACCCCAGAGAAUGGCAUGUUUAAAGGCAUCUGAGCAAUAAAAUGAUGAUGAUGAUUA